RNAcentral lists this ribosomal RNA (1347 nucleotides) under uncultured bacterium. RNAcentral's name for it is "bacterial SSU rRNA". It matches the Rfam family "Bacterial small subunit ribosomal RNA", at positions 28 to 1381 of the family's 1533-position model. The record is from RNAcentral.
GACGAACGCUGGCGGCGUGCUUAACACAUGCAAGUCGAACGAUGAAGCCCAGCUUGCUGGGCGGAUUAGUGGCGAACGGGUGAGUAAUACGUGAGUAACCUGCCUUUAACUCUGGGAUAAGCCUUGGAAACGAGGUCUAAUACCGGAUACGACCAACCCUCGCAUGAGGUGUUGGUGGAAAGGGAUUUUGUACUGGUUUUAGAUGGGCUCACGGCCUAUCAGCUUGUUGGUGAGGUAACGGCUCACCAAGGCGACGACGGGUAGCCGGCCUGAGAGGGUGACCGGCCACACUGGGACUGAGACACGGCCCAGACUCCUACGGGAGGCAGCAGUGGGGAAUAUUGCACAAUGGGCGCAAGCCUGAUGCAGCGACGCCGCGUGAGGGAUGACGGCCUUCGGGUUGUAAACCUCUUUCAGCAGGGGAGACGCGAAAGUGACGGUACCUGCAGAAGAAGCGCCGGCUAACUACGUGCCAGCAGCCGCGGUAAUACGUAGGGCGCGAGCGUUGUCCGGAAUUAUUGGGCGUAAAGAGCUUGUAGGCGGUUUGUCGCGUCUGCUGUGAAGCCCGGGGCUUAACCCCGGGUUUGCAGUGGGUACGGGCAGACUAGAGUGCAGUAGGGGAGACUGGAAUUCCUGGUGUAGCGGUGAAAUGCGCAGAUAUCAGGAGGAACACCAAUGGCGAAGGCAGGUCUCUGGGCUGUAACUGACGCUGAGAAGCGAAAGCAUGGGGAGCAAACAGGAUUAGAUACCCUGGUAGUCCAUGCCGUAAACGUUGGGCAUUAGGUGUGGGGAACAUUCCACGUUUUCCGCGCCGUAGCUAACGCAUUAAGUGCCCCGCCUGGGGAGUACGGCCGCAAGGCUAAAACUCAAAGAAAUUGACGGGGGCCCGCACAAGCGGCGGAGCAUGCGGAUUAAUUCGAUGCAACGCGAAGAACCUUACCAAGGCUUGACAUAUACUAGACCGCCUCAGAGAUGGGGUUUCCCUUCGGGGCUGGUAUACAGGUGGUGCAUGGUUGUCGUCAGCUCGUGUCGUGAGAUGUUGGGUUAAGUCCCGCAACGAGCGCAACCCUCGUUCUAUGUUGCCAGCACGUAAUGGUGGGGACUCAUAGGAGACUGCCGGGGUUAACUCGGAGGAAGGUGGGGAUGACGUCAAAUCAUCAUGCCCCUUAUGUCUUGGGCUUCACGCAUGCUACAAUGGCCGGUACAAAGGGUUGCGAUACUGUGAGGUUGAGCUAAUCCCAAAAAGCCGGUCUCAGUUCGGAUUGGGGUCUGCAACUCGACCCCAUGAAGUCGGAGUCGCUAGUAAUCGCAGAUCAGCAACGCUGCGGUGAAUACGUUCCCGGGCCU